GAUGAACGCUGGCGGCGUGCUUAACACAUGCAAGUCGAACGGGAUCCCAGGGGUGCUUGCCCUUUUUGGUGAGAGUGGCGAACGGGUGAGUAACACGUGAGUCACCUGUCCUUUUCUUUGGGAUCAGCAUGCGAAAGGGUGUUUAAUACCUUAUGUUCUGUCUGCCUCGCAUGGGGUGGGUGGGAAAGGCUUUGGCCGGAUUUGGGUGGGGUCGCGGUCUGUGAGCUCGUUGGGGGUGGGAUGGCUUACCCAGGCUGUGGCGGGUAGCGGGUCUGAGAGGGUGGUCGGACACAGUGGGGCUGAGAGAUGGUCCGGACGGCUGCGGGAGGCAGCAGUGGGGGAUAGUGGACAAUGGGCGAAAGCCUGAUGGAGCGAGGGAGGGUGGGGGACGAAGGGUUUCGGGGUGUAAUCUUGUUUGGCUCUGAGCGAGGCAUGCCAGGGGGUGCGUGGAGUGUAGGGGUGGAUUAGCGCCGGCUAACUACGUG
RNAcentral lists this ribosomal RNA (485 nucleotides) under uncultured bacterium. RNAcentral describes it as "partial 16S ribosomal RNA". It matches the Rfam family "Bacterial small subunit ribosomal RNA", at positions 28 to 507 of the family's 1533-position model. The record is from RNAcentral.